GCCGGGUUAGCUCAGCUGGUAGAGCAACCGCCUUGAACAUAACGAGUGCCUCGGGAGAAAUCCCGGGAGUAGAAUCGCCCAAAUUCGGGGAAAGCUAAAGCCGUCGCCUGCCGAUGGCCAUGCCAAUCCCGAGCCAAGCCCCGCUCCGCGGGGAAGGUGUAGAGACUAGACGGGUGACGCCUAAGGCCAACGCAGAUGUAACGCUGCAGGCUAUGGCGAAGGGAUAGUCCAGCCCACGAACGCACACGGCGGCGAAAGCCGAAGUGGGACGGUAAGCGGUAGGUCGUUGGUUCGAUUCCGACACUCGGCACCA
This 313-nucleotide transfer RNA is filed under the name Pseudochelatococcus contaminans. RNAcentral's name for it is "tRNA-Ser". The record is from RNAcentral. Lineage: Bacteria; Pseudomonadati; Pseudomonadota; Alphaproteobacteria; Hyphomicrobiales; Chelatococcaceae.